Long non-coding RNA from Salvelinus sp. IW2-2015, 557 nucleotides. RefSeq lists it as uncharacterized. NCBI's taxonomy places the organism in Eukaryota, Metazoa, Chordata, Actinopteri, Salmoniformes, Salmonidae. The record is from RefSeq and is a predicted model, not a curated record.
UUCCAUUUCCUCAAUCCCAUCUCUCUCCCAUGCUUUCCUGCCCUUAGUGGUACAGAGAUGACUGAAGAGGAGGUAGAGGUGAGAAUUAUUUGUGAUUAGUGCACUAUUUGUGACAUACACGCCACACACACUGUUCUGUCCCCUAUAGAGUGCAUUUACCCAGCUGGCUCUGGCGUUCCGUUGUGACCAGUACACCCUGGCCCAGAGACUGCAGGCUGAGGAACACGYCAGAACCGUGGCCCAGGAGAACCUCAACCUGGAACUGGAGAGUGCCAGAGACACUCUGCAGUCUCUGAGAGGUAGGUGUGUAGACGCUGAGCGGUCAGAGAUCCUGAGUUGUAUCGAGGCCAGUCUAGACACAGUGCUGGAUGGCGUGAGUGACAUCAUCGCUGCUGCUGAGAUGCUGGGGGUCGUGCACCAGGAAGCCCGUGUUUGUUGUUCUGUGGAAAUGAUGGAGGUUCAUGUGGAACACCUGAAGCGUCGACAUGCUGUGGAGAGCGCCGAGCUGCUGGAGACCAGGAAGCGGCUCCACCGCAGCCGGGGCAGGAAUCACAGUG